This is a non-coding RNA of Podarcis lilfordi (Lilford's wall lizard), 75 nucleotides long. The record is from the annotation of a GenBank genome assembly. NCBI's taxonomy places the organism in Eukaryota, Metazoa, Chordata, Lepidosauria, Squamata, Lacertidae.
GGAAGGGCCAUAGCUCAGUAGUAGGGCACAUGCCCUGCAUGCAGAAGGUUCCAGGUUCAAUCCCUGGCAUUUCCA